GUUUUACCCCCACAGCUGAUAAAAGGGAUGCCUGGGAGGCUCUAGGGGAUGGCAGCCUGGGGGUCCCAGGGUGUGUCGGGGCUGAGGAGGCUGAUGGUGUAGAGCACGAAGAUUUGGAUGGAGGAGUCAGCUGCCAAACUCACGAAGCUGAGCCCAGCCAUGGCCCUCUGGUCCGUAGGGGAUCCCAUGGGACCGGUUGGAUCUGACCUGCCCGUGACGUGACGUGGGUUUGGGCUUAUCCUCAGCGCUCGCAGCUGAACUAACUUUUGGAUGCAGAGCAAGCCUGGAAAAGUCCAGCCCUGAGGUUUAUCAGUGCCUGAAGAGUGCUGAGAAAGAAAACCCAUCCCACAGCCUGGAGCAGAUCACAGCACUUGCAUGGAGAAGAUGCAAGAAGAGUAUCUUGUCCCUCACCUGGCCAUCGAGCUCUGUGGCUGCAUGAGAAGGGCUUUGAAAGCAGCAGGCAGGGCAUGGGGAGGUGGCAGCACCACCGUGAGCUGGGUGUGGAGGUGCUGGGGUCUCAUUGGGGUCCCAAGCCGGGCUUUUCUGGGACAUCCCCCCAUUAUCCCCAGCACUGGGGUGUGCACGUGGUGGAGAUG
Molecule: long non-coding RNA, 596 nt
Organism: Oxyura jamaicensis (ruddy duck)
Lineage: Eukaryota; Metazoa; Chordata; Aves; Anseriformes; Anatidae
Exons: 3
Source: RefSeq, a predicted model, not a curated record